UACAGAGGCCUCAAGCGUUAUCCGAAAUUAUUGGGCGUAAAGCGUCCGCAGGCGGGAUAGCACGUCUGCUGUUAAAUCCUAGGGCUCAACCCUAUGGGCUGCAGUGGAUACGGCUAUUCUUGAGGUAGGGAGAGGUGAAUGGAACUCAUAGUGGAGCGGUGAAAUGCGUUGAUAUUAUGGGGAACACCAAUUGCGAAGGCAGUUCACUGGCCCUAUCCUGACGCUCAGGGACGACAGCGUGGGGAGCGAAGCGG
RNAcentral lists this unclassified non-coding RNA (254 nucleotides) under uncultured Parcubacteria group bacterium. Its description in RNAcentral is "contains 16S-23S intergenic spacer region". It matches the Rfam family "Bacterial small subunit ribosomal RNA", at positions 524 to 776 of the family's 1533-position model. The record is from RNAcentral.